AGACCUGCGCCGCAGUCCUGUCCUGCCUGCCGGGCUCGCCGAGUCGCCGCGCGGCUCCCGGUGCUGGCGUGGGUGGGCGCCCGCGGCCUGCCCCGAAACCCAAGAGUCCUCGCUGGUCUUUCGCAGACUCUGACCCGCUUCCGAGCCAGGCCCAAGGUGCAGUCCCCGUGGGAGGGCUGGGGCCCAGGCACCGUCUGGUCUCCGAUUUCUGUUCGGGAACUGCUCAGGGAUUCGAUGGGGAGAGAGGAGACCCCCGAAGUUCCUCCCUAAGGCCACACUGAGCAGGCCCCCAGCCCUGCCUUUACUCGCCCGCCAAGCCUGGGGGGUGGCCUCUGCGCCCACAUAGUCGCAGUCCUAGGACCGCCUUUGGUCGUGGUGCACGGUUUCACCGUAACGUGUGUCAGUCCCCACUCCGCAUUCCUCAGUUGUCAUCUUUGUAGGGUGAUUUCUCCCCGAUCUGUGUCCUUUUUCCGCUGCUUGUGCUGUAGUGAAACCGACCCAUCUGCAGUCGCUGUAUUUCUUGAAUUUUUGUGAGGCAUUCUUUUUUAACUCUUGUUGCCCAGGCUGGAGUGUAAUGGCGCGAUUUCGGCCCACUGCAACCUCCGCCUCCAGGAUUCAAGCGAUUCUCCUGCCUCAGCCUCCCGAGUAGCUGAGAUUACAGGCGCCCGCCACCACGCCCGGCUAAUUUUUUGUAUUUUUAGUAGAAACGGGGUUUCACCACGUUAGCCAGGCUGGUCCCGAACUCCUGACCUCAGGUGAUCCGCCUGCCUCGGCCUCCCAAAGUGCUAGAGCCGCUUUUUUUUUUUUUCUUUUUUAAUUUUUUUAAAAAAUAGAGACAAGGUCUCACUAUGUUGCCUAGGCUGGUCUCGAACUCCUGGGCCCAAGUGAUCCUCCCACUUCGGCCUCCCAAAGUGCUGGGAUCACAGGAGUGAGCCAUCCCACCCGACCCAAGCACCUGUACUUUGUCACUCUCCCAUUUCUGGCUAGACCAGGACUCCCUUUGACAUCUCUAACCUUGCAGAGGUGUGACUCUGCCAGAGCACUCUUAGAUGUCGUACAGGUGCAUUUGAAGCCUUGUAUUUUCUCUUAAAAGAUAACUGGCGGGUAAUGGAGCGUGCUGACUCUAUUGCUAAAGAGAAAGAAUAGGCUGGGCGCGGUGGCUCACGCCUGGGAGCCACUUUGGGAGGCCGAGGCAGGUGGAUUACCUGAGGUCAGGAGUUUGAGACCAGCCUGGCCAACAUGACGAAACCCCGUCCCUACUAAAAAUACAAAAAUUAGCUGGGUGUGGUGGCACGCGCCUGUAGUCCCAGCUACUCAGGAGGCUGAGGCAGGAGAAUCUCUUGAACCCGGGAGGUGGAGGUGGCAGUGAGCCGAGAUCGAGCCACUCUACUCCAGCCUGGGUGACAGAGCGAGACUCCGUUCCCCCCCAAAAAAAAUAAUAAAAGAGAAAGAACUGAGAUUUGUUUGUUAGUUAUAAACAGCAACAACAGAUCCGGGAAAAGACCACCACAGCUUUAUCCAGACUUGGAAAGAAAAAUUGUGUGAGACCUUAAAGGGCUACAAGAACCCUACAAAGUUUUUCUUAGCCCAAGUUUUAAUGACUUUGUUAAAAUUUCUGUUGUUAAUUUGUUGUGUGCCUACAGGCCCUGACAGGAAUACUAGAAACCCAUUGUAAAUUAAGGUCUUGAAGACAUAUUUAUCAAUCAUUCAAUAAAAGUAUUGAUAUUUACCAGGUUCUGUUUUAAACAGAAGAGACAUAAUAACAGAGUCAAAUAAACCCCUAGUUAGGGAAUAAUAUGCAAGUCAACAAAUAAAUACAUCAAGAAGUCUCAGGGCCAGUCGAGGUGGCUCUAGCCUGUAAUCCCAGCACUUUGGGAGGCCGAGGUGGGAGAAUCACCUAAGGUCAGGAGUUAGAGACCAGCCUGGCCAACAUGGUGAAACCCUGUCUCUACUAAAAAUACAAAAAAAUUAGCCGGGCGUGGUGGCGGGUACCUGUAGUCCCAGCUACUCAGGAGGCUGAGGCAGGAGAAUGGAUUGAACCCGGGAGGUGGAGGUAGCAGUGAGCCAAGAUCGUGCCUCCAGCCUGGGCAACAAAGUGAGAGUUUAUCUCAAAAAAAAAAAAAAAAGUUUCACGUAUCCGCCAGGCGGGGUGGCUUAGGUCUGUAAUCCCAGCACUUUGGGAGGCCAAGGCAGCCGGAUCACUUGAGUCCAGGAAUUCCAGACCAGCCUGGCCAACAUGGUGAAACGUCUCUACAAAAAAUACAAAAGUAAGCUAGGCGUGGUGGCACAUGCCUUUAGUCCCAGCUACUCUGGAGGCUGAGGGGGGAGGAUUACCUGAGCCCAUACAUGGAGGUUGCAGUGAGCUGAGAUGGCGCCACUGCAUACCAGCCUGGGUGACAGAGCGAGACCCUAUCUCAUAAUAAAUUAGUAAAAAAUGCUGCAUUGAAAAAAGUCUCUGGCCGGGCAUGGUGGCUCAUGCCUGUAAUCCCAGCACUUUGGGAGGCCGAGGUGGGUGGAUUACCUGAGGUCAGGAGUUCAAGACCAGCCCAGCCAACAUGGCAAAACCCCAUCUCUACUCAAAAUACAAAAUUUAGCCGGGUGUGGUGGCUUGCACCUGUAAUCCCAGCUACUUGGGAGGCUGAGGCAGGAGAAUUGCUUGAACCCGGGACGUGACAGUUGCAGUGAGCCAAGAUUGUGCCAUUGCACUCCAGCCUGAGUGACAGAGUGAAACUCUGUCUCAAAAAAAAAAAAACAGUCUCAGGUAUCAAUAAGUGUUGUGAAGAAAACAAGGUAAUGAGAUUGAGGGGAGAAGGAGGCAACAGUAAAUUGGGUGAUUAAAUAAGACUUCUGUGAAGAGUGACAUUUAAGCUGAAGUCCUUUAAAUGGUCCUACAUGAUCUACUUCCCCAUCCAAUUUACAUGUACCUUCUAACAUAUUUUUUCUAAGUUGGGCAUGUGGUCCCAGCUACUCAGGAAGCUAAGGAGGUGGGAGAAUCCCUUGAACCUGGGAAUUCGAGGCUGCAGUGAGCUGAAAUUGCACCACUGCACUCCAGCCUGAGUGACAGAGCAAGACCCUAUCUCCUAACAAACAAACAUAUUUUGACAUUUACUUGUGUAUUAGGAUUAUUGUUUUUUGUAUGUCCUCAGCAAGAAAAGGGAAUUUUGAUUUGUUUAUUGGUAACAAAAACUGGUACAUUGUAUGUGCUCAUUAUGUGUUGAGUAAAUAAAUUUGGAGCUUACUGAGCAAGCAGAAAGUAGUAAGAGAUGUCAGAGAGGCAGGCAGGGGCCAGAGCAUGCAGGGAUUUUAUUACAGAUCUUAUGGGAAGGCAUUGAAGGUUAUUAUUUUUUUUCUUUUGUAUGGUCUUGCUCUCUUGCCCAGGCUGGAGUGCAGUGGUGUAAUCUCAGCUCACUGCAGCCUCCAACUCCUGGAUUCAAGCGAUUCUCCUUCUGCAGCCUCUCCUGUAGCUGGGAUUAUAGGCACCCGCCACCAACGCCUGGGUAAGUUUUUGUAUUUUUAGUUCAGGUAUCCUCCAGGAAGGGUGGCUUGCGCCUGUAAUCCCAGCACUUUGGAAGGCCAAAGCGGGCAGAUCACUUGAGGUCAGGAGUUCAAGACCAGCCUGACCAACAUGGUGAAACCUCAUCUCUACCAAAAAUAUAAAAAAUUAGCCAGGUGUCGUGGUUCGCGCCUGUAAUCCCAGCUACUUGGG
Molecule: long non-coding RNA, 3706 nt
Filed under: Homo sapiens (human)
Lineage: Eukaryota; Metazoa; Chordata; Mammalia; Primates; Hominidae
Description: non-protein coding lnc-DNAJB7-1:1
Source: RNAcentral